GACGUAGGAGGCGAGCGUUGUCCGGAUUCAUUGGGCGUAAAGAGCGCGCAGGCGGCUUGGUAAGUCGGAUGUGAAAUCCCGAGGCUCAACCUCGGGUCUGCAUCCGAUACUGCCCGGCUAGAGGUAGGUAGGGGAGAUCGGAAUUCCUGGUGUAGCGGUGAAAUGCGCAGAUAUCAGGAGGAACACCGGUGGCGAAGGCGGAUCUCUAGUACGAUACUGACGCUGAGACGCGAAAGCGUGGGGAGCGAACAGG
This 253-nucleotide ribosomal RNA is filed under the name uncultured bacterium. RNAcentral describes it as "partial 16S ribosomal RNA". It matches the Rfam family "Bacterial small subunit ribosomal RNA", at positions 524 to 776 of the family's 1533-position model. The record is from RNAcentral.